This 253-nucleotide ribosomal RNA is filed under the name uncultured bacterium. RNAcentral's name for it is "partial 16S ribosomal RNA". It matches the Rfam family "Bacterial small subunit ribosomal RNA", at positions 524 to 776 of the family's 1533-position model. The record is from RNAcentral.
UACGGAGGGAGCUAGCGUUGUUCGGAAUCACUGGGCGUAAAGGGUGCGUAGGCGGGUCUUUAAGUCAGGGGUGAAAUCCUGGAGCUCAACUCCAGAACUGCCUUUGAUACUGAAGAUCUUGAGUUCGGGAGAGGUGAGUGGAACUGCGAGUGUAGAGGUGAAAUUCGUAGAUAUUCGCAAGAACACCAGUGGCGAAGGCGGCUCACUGGCCCGGUACUGACGCUGAGGUGCGAAAGCGUGGGGAGCAAACAGG